Molecule: unclassified non-coding RNA, 245 nt
Filed under: Glomeraceae sp.
Lineage: Eukaryota; Fungi; Glomeromycota; Glomeromycetes; Glomerales; Glomeraceae
Description: partial contains 5.8S ribosomal RNA and internal transcribed spacer 2
Rfam family: 5.8S ribosomal RNA (bases 1-71)
Source: RNAcentral
GUGAAUCAUCGAAUUUUUGAACGCAAAUUGCGCUUGCUGGUAUCCCGGGAAGUAUGCCUGUUUGAGGGUCAGUAUUAACAUAAAAUCGGUUUGGUUGCAAUUGGUGAUGUUUGCGGAGUUCGGGCUUAUCCAAACUCUUUUGCUUAAGGGGCUUAAAAUUGACCUUUUUUGUGCAUUUUUAGAUGUAUAUAACUUUUUUUUUAUUCGUCUAUUCUGAAUGCCAAUAUCUUAUUAGAUGCGAUCAC